AGGUGCUUUGGUCGGCCCAGCCCCCAGCAAUCCCAUUGUGACGCAAGAUAUCAAUAUCUGCUCUCCCAUCACUUCUAGAGUUCUUUGCAGGUAAAUGCUUUAAAAUAGUUCUUCUUAUUGGGUAUGAUUACGCUGCGUUAGUGGCGUAAGCUAGAAUCUGGACUUUUAAAAUGUCUAAUCAUGCCGAACUUUUAUAGUAGAUUAUGGU
This 208-nucleotide unclassified non-coding RNA is filed under the name Hevea brasiliensis (rubber tree). Lineage: Eukaryota; Viridiplantae; Streptophyta; Magnoliopsida; Malpighiales; Euphorbiaceae. The record is from RNAcentral.